This 216-nucleotide long non-coding RNA is filed under the name Nicotiana benthamiana. RNAcentral's name for it is "long non-coding RNA (NBEN_LNC014201)". Lineage: Eukaryota; Viridiplantae; Streptophyta; Magnoliopsida; Solanales; Solanaceae. The record is from RNAcentral.
UAAAACAUGUGUUUCAAAAGACAUGGCAGGUGGUCAAUUUUUUUGGAUAAAUUAUUAUUUCAACAGCCUCCCUUAAUUAAUCAAAAAUUACCUAUACCAAGCAUUGACUUCAGAUUCUCGAACAAUUCUGCUCUCAGCGGUUUUGUAAGGAUAUCCGCUAUUUGAUCUUCAGAUCUGCAGAACUCAAGUUCAAUUUCACCAUCCUUAACAAGAUCC